GAUGAACGCUGGCGGCGUGCUUAACACAUGCAAGUCGAACGGGAUCCAAGGGGUGCUUGCACUUUUUGGUGAGAGUGGCGAACGGGUGAGUAACACGUGAGUAACCUGUCCUUUUCUUUGGGUAAGCAUUCGAAAAGGUGGUUAAUACCCUAUUUUCUGUCUGCCUCCCCUGGGGUGGGGGGGAAAGGGUUUGGCCGGAUUUGGGUGGGCUCGCGGUCUAUCAGCUUGUUGGUGGGGUGAUGGCUUACCAAGGCUUUGACGGGUAGCCGGCCUGAGAGGGUGGUCAGUCACAUUGGGACUGAGAUACGGCCCAGACUCCUGCGGGAGGCAGCAGUGGGGGAUAUUGCACAAUGGGCGAAAGCCUGAUGCAGCGACGCCGCGUGGGGGAUGAAGGCCUUCGGGUUGUAAACUUCUUUUGCUCUGAACAAGGCAUGCCAGUGGGUGUGUUGAGUGUAGGGGUUGAUUAGCGCCGGCUAACUACGUG
This 484-nucleotide ribosomal RNA is filed under the name uncultured bacterium. RNAcentral's name for it is "partial 16S ribosomal RNA". It matches the Rfam family "Bacterial small subunit ribosomal RNA", at positions 28 to 507 of the family's 1533-position model. The record is from RNAcentral.